AAAAGAUGAAACUUCAGACCUUAACAUUACAAACUACAAAGAAGUAAUAACUUCUCUCAAAUGGCGUGCCAGCAGUCUCGGUUAUACGAUUAGAUUUUUAAACAGUUUAACUUCUUCAUUUAACACAAUAUAGUAAAGUAAAAUCACUUAAAGGUGAAAUUUUGAGAUUCUCUAAUUCUUAAGAUGAAGAAAGACGAAACCGUGAAGAAAAAGGAUUAGAUACCCUCCUACUUGCUUUCCAAAGGUAAUAAAUGGAACUCAUUAAACCUAAAAGAAUUGGCGGUCUUUCAUCCAUUCAGGGGGAUUUGCCUCUUAAAUCGAUAACCCCCGUUUCAUAAUACCUUUCUUAUUAGUUUACAUAUCGCCGAAGGGUAGAAAAGACAAUCAACAAUUUCAGGUAAAAUGUAGCCCAUAGAGAGGAGAAGGUUAAUCACAAAGAAGAUUUUCUAUUAAAUUUCAAAACAAUAAGGACCUGAAAGUAAACUUCCCUUAGAAUAAGAGGUUAAAAAGGCAAUCAAAGAUGCACAUAUCGCCCGUCACCCUAAAAAGUUAGGUAAGUCGUAACAAAGUAGAAGUUUCGGAAGAAGCCUCUUCU
RNAcentral lists this ribosomal RNA (595 nucleotides) under Leptotrombidium imphalum. Its description in RNAcentral is "small subunit rRNA". Lineage: Eukaryota; Metazoa; Arthropoda; Arachnida; Trombidiformes; Trombiculidae. The record is from RNAcentral.